Molecule: long non-coding RNA, 202 nt
Filed under: Cicer arietinum (chickpea)
Lineage: Eukaryota; Viridiplantae; Streptophyta; Magnoliopsida; Fabales; Fabaceae
Description: long non-coding RNA (CARI_LNC000285)
Source: RNAcentral
UUGAUUAUCAUCAACGAAUACUCUCAGUUAUUCAAUUAAUGAAAUUGAUGACGAACACUCCGAAAUGCAAAAUAUACCACUCAUACAAACUUCUAUCGGUUCGAAAAUUUCACCAGAAAAUACAUGUUUUCUAGUAGUGAACUCUGAAGAACAUGAUGAGUAUGACUAAAAAAACAUAAUAAAAUCUUCAUAAAGAGUGAAU